Molecule: ribosomal RNA, 534 nt
Filed under: Escherichia coli
Lineage: Bacteria; Pseudomonadati; Pseudomonadota; Gammaproteobacteria; Enterobacterales; Enterobacteriaceae
Description: bacterial SSU rRNA
Rfam family: Bacterial small subunit ribosomal RNA
Source: RNAcentral
UACUGGAAACGGUAGCUAAUACCGCAUAACGUCGCAAGACCAAAGAGGGGGACCUUCGGGCCUCUUGCCAUCGGAUGUGCCCAGAUGGGAUUAGCUUGUAGGUGGGGUAACGGCUCACCUAGGCGACGAUCCCUAGCUGGUCUGAGAGGAUGACCAGCCACACUGGAACUGAGACACGGUCCAGACUCCUACGGGAGGCAGCAGUGGGGAAUAUUGCACAAUGGGCGCAAGCCUGAUGCAGCCAUGCCGCGUGUAUGAAGAAGGCCUUCGGGUUGUAAAGUACUUUCAGCGGGGAGGAAGGGAGUAAAGUUAAUACCUUUGCUCAUUGACGUUACCCGCAGAAGAAGCACCGGCUAACUCCGUGCCAGCAGCCGCGGUAAUACGGAGGGUGCAAGCGUUAAUCGGAAUUACUGGGCGUAAAGCGCACGCAGGCGGUUUGUUAAGUCAGAUGUGAAAUCCCCGGGCUCAACCUGGGAACUGCAUCUGAUACUGGCAAGCUUGAGUCUCGUAGAGGGGGGUAGAAUUCCAGGUGUA